This 468-nucleotide ribosomal RNA is filed under the name uncultured bacterium. RNAcentral describes it as "partial 16S ribosomal RNA". It matches the Rfam family "Bacterial small subunit ribosomal RNA", at positions 28 to 507 of the family's 1533-position model. The record is from RNAcentral.
GAUGAACGCUGGCGGCGUGCUUAACACAUGCAAGUCGAACGGAAAGACCCUGCUCUUGUGGGGUGCUCGAUUGGCGAACGCGGGAGUAACACGCGUGUAACCUGCCCUUGUCUUUGGGAUAACUUCAGGAAACUGGGGCUAAUACCGGAUAGGAGCUCCUGCUGCAUGGUGGGCGUUGGAGAGUGUCGGCUGUUGGGGAUGGACUGGCGGCUUAUCAGCUUGUUAGGGGAGUAGUUGCGUACGAAGGCUUUGACGGGUAGGCCGCCUGAGAGCGUGACCGGCGACAUUGGGCCUGAGGUAGGGAGCAGUCGGGAAUGGUCGGCAACAGUGGGAAAUAUUGCAGAGUGGGCGGAAGCCUGUGACGGAGGUCCCGCGUGCGGGAAGACGGCCUUCGGGGUAUGAACCGCUUUCGACUGUGCCAAAGCGUGAUUGACGGUAAUGAGUAAAGAAGCCCCGGCUAACUACGUG